UCCAGACUGGUUGCAAAACAACGGAAUUUACGGAGUGCACACACACUGCAUUAUAAACCGCGGGAGUCGGUACUACACCAAAAAUUCCACGAAAUUUGUUUUAUUUUUUGUUACGAAACAACUUUAAAAUUGACUAUUUUAGUUUUGUGUUGUACGUUUUUUUAUUAAUCGCUGUUUUAUGUUAAUAAUUUUAGUUUUUUUCUGCAAAUUGUUGAACAGUGUUGAUUUUUAUUGUACAAAUGAUGUUUGUUGUGUUUUAUCAAGUGUAUUAAACUAAGGAUUCUUAACUUUUAACUUAUUGGGCCGAUAUGCAGCUUUGACAAACUUUCAACCAGAAUAAGUCAUACACUUCAAAAUAACCGUUCUACGAAAUUAUAGAUACCUAAUAGCUUCACAAGAUAUAAAAUCAAGGCGUGAGUAAAAAUAUGUCGAAAAUGCUACCCAACUAAUCUAAGAUCAAUUACUUGCUGAUAAGAGGAUUCCAUAUUUACGACUAAGCUAUGGCAGAAGGUAAUGGUGAGGUACCGGAAGAAUCAAUGAAGAUCGACGUCGAACGUACUGAAGACUACCAGAAGCUGCUGGAAUAUGGCCUUGACGAGAAAGUUGCCGCAAAAUUGGAUGAGAUCUAUAAGACUGGCAAGCUAGUACACGUUGACCUAGACGAAAGAGCGCUUGACGCCUUAAAAGAAUUUCCCGUAGAUGGGGCGCUCAACGUUCUAGGUCAGUUCCUGGAUUCCAACUUGGAGCACGUGUCAAACAAAUCGGCGUACCUAUGCGGAGUCAUGAAGACCUACAGACAGAAGAGCAGAGCGGGGACCAGCGGCUCGGCGGGUGCGGCCACUCCCGCGCCAGUGCCCGUCAAGGGACCCGACCACGAUAAGAUCAAAAAAAUAUUAGACCGAACCGGAUAUGCUUUAGAUGUUACUACCGGUCAACGAAAAUUCGGUGGUCCCCCACCAGAUUGGGAAGGUGCGCCGCCAGGUUCGGGAUGCGAAGUAUUUUGCGGCAAAAUUCCCAAAGACAUGUAUGAAGAUGAGCUGAUUCCAUUAUUCGAGGAAUGCGGCCACAUAUGGGACCUUAGACUAAUGAUGGACCCGAUGACGGGUACCAAUAGAGGAUAUGCCUUUGUAACAUUUACAAAUCGGGAAGCAGCCCAAAUAGCCGUCCAAAAGUUGGAUAAUCAUGAAAUCAAACCUGGAAAGAAUCUGAAAAUUAACAUUAGCGUGCCAAAUCUACGUCUUUUCGUCGGAAACAUUCCAAAGUCAAAAGGCAAAGAGGAGAUCUUGGACGAAUUUGGUAAAUUGACAGCCGGCCUGAUGGAAGUGAUCAUUUAUUCGUCGCCCGACGAUAAGAAGAAAAAUCGUGGAUUUUGCUUUUUGGAAUAUGAAUCACAUAAGGCAGCAUCUUUAGCAAAACGAAGGUUGGGCACAGGGCGUAUUAAAGUUUGGGGCUGCGAUAUUAUCGUAGAUUGGGCUGAUCCUCAAGAAGAACCAGAUGCCCAAACUAUGUCUAAGGUUAAGGUCCUCUACGUAAGAAAUUUAACACAGGAAAUAAGUGAAGAAAAAUUAAAAGAAGAAUUUGAACAGUUCGGCAAGGUGGAGAGGGUGAAGAAAAUCAAAGAUUACGCUUUUAUACAUUUUGAAGAUAGGGAUAAUGCCGUUAAGGCAAUGGAAGCCUUAGAUUCUAAAGAAUUAGGGGGUUCAAAUAUUGAAGUGUCAUUAGCCAAACCUCCUUCUGAUAAAAAGAAAAAAGAAGAAAUACUUAGAGCCAGAGAAAGAAGAAUGAUGCAGAUGAUGCAAGUUAGAGGAGGCAUGAUGCCUGGAACUAUGCCCAUGAGGGGUCCCCCUGGAACUUCAGGCCCAAGAGGGACAGGAAGUAUGAGAUCAGCGCCGAUGGGAAGGGGUGAUUACGAUUACGAUUACGACUAUUACGGUUACGGGGACUAUAGAGGCGGCUACAGUGAUCCCUAUUAUGAUGAUUUUUACCGGUAUGAAGAUUACUAUUACGAUUAUCAGCCGGCCCCAACACCAGCGAGAGGAAGGGGUCGGCAACCAGCACCGGAACUGGAUGAAGGAGUCACGUCAGGUGUAUUCUACGAUCUUAGCAGUGGAACACAGGCUGGCCGUGGGCGUGGGGUGGUGGCACGUGGCCGGGCAGGUGGCCCCCCAGCCCGUGGGGCGGCAGCCAACAGAGCGGGCCGGGGCGGAGCAACAGGGGCCCGUGGGGCAGCACGCCAAGCCGCUCGUGGAGUGGGCCGCGCCAAGGCAAGUUUACCAGUUAUGUUAGCAGUUGCCUAAAUUGCCCAGUUCCCAUCCCUCUUUCCUCUGAAGUUUGAGAAAUGUAGUUUUGUUCAUAAUGCACAGGUAAGCGAAAGUUUGACGGGGGUCACCAGAACCAGGGGGAGACAAAGCGCCGAUACCAGAGCAACUGGGGGAGCCAGCCCCUUUCACAACAGCCGCUGGGGGCGGACGUGAACGGCGAACAGCAGGCAUGGUACCAGGAUUCCUACGGCUCCUGGAGCUAAGUGAUAGGACUUGAACGCCCGCAGUGGGACUGAGUGUGAGUGGCCCUACGUCAAAAAAGGAGGGCGAUAAACAAGGCCAGAGCACACCCUCUAGUGCCUGCUAUAGAAGGGUGUUGAAUAUAACUCCAAAUGAAUUCUUGGGCAACGAGUUUUGUUUAAAGAAGAUGGUGAUCGACAAAUUUAAAAUGUUGUAGCGUUUGAACGCAGUUUUAGAUUUGAAAAUCUAAUUAAAAAUUUGUUCGCAUGAGGUAGAUUGGUCUCUAAAAAUAUUUUAAAAAUACCUCUGUUAUUAAAUUAUUAGUAAUAUCACUUGAAAUUUUAAUAGAACGUUCGAUUUUGUUGAAAUUAAAAAAGUUUGUUGUACUACUAAUGUGAUUGAUAUAUUUUAAAGACCAAACGAAAUGAUAAAAUUCUAGUUAGGUACUAUAUUUAUUGGAAAAUAUAUUUAAAAUUAUUUAUUGAUGAAAAGAUGCCACAAAAAUUCAGGAGGAGUCAUAUUGCGGCAGAUUUGAUAAGCACUUGUAGUGCGCGCCAGCCUGAUAGCUGAUGGUGUCCCCAAUUCUACGUUAAUUAUUACCUAUUCUGCAUUCGUUUUUUAUUAAUUUUAAAAUUUUUGAAUUGUUAUUGGUACUUUCAAAAUUCUUUUGCUGUACGUUUGUUGUUUUGGAAUUAAAAUUUAUUCAAUUAAAUUGGUUAAGUUACUUGGCAUUAUGUUUUACUAUGUGUUGUUUUGGGGUCGGAGAUUUUUAGAACGGAACUAUUACACUUCUCCAAGAAAUUAACGCACCUACUUAAAAAAUUGGUCAUUUUUAAUGUCUCGAAUUUCCUAAACCUGUUGUCCGAUUUAAGUGAUUUUUUUUAACAUGUUUUUUAACCUUAUUCUUUAUCAAUAGGGCUUUUCAUCGAUUUUCAUUUGUUUCGAGCCUCUGUCAUUAUGUUGUAUAAUCUGUGUAUAAUAUUAAUAUACAUGGAUUAUACGACAUAAUAUACACGGAUUAUACGACAUAUGACAGCAGCUCGAAACAAAUGACUGUGAAUGAAAAGCCCUAUAUCGCUGUAAUAAUAUUGCUGCUACAGGGAAAUUGUCAUUGUAUACCGGGUGAUUUUUCUCAAAGUUCGCAUCACCCUGUGGAAUAUUCUAGCAUUUAUAAAAUACUAAAAUUAAAACCCAACUAUAGCCUCAUGUUUUCUUAACAUUAUGUUUUUUGAUUCAUUCGCUUUGAUAAUAUAAAAUUUACGUAAUUUAUCAACUAGCCUUGUUUUUCAUCAAUACGGGGUGUUUUUAAAUAAGUAUGGCAAACUUUAAAGGGUAAUUCUGUCUGGAAAAAUAAUGACAGUUUGCUUUAUAAACGUAUGUCCGCAAAUGCUUCGUUUCCGAGAUAGGGGGUGUUGAAAUUUUUCUUACAAACUGACGAUUUUUAUUGUUCUACGACCGGUUAAGAUAUGCAUAUGAAAUUUGGUAGGUUUUAAGAGGUAGUUAUUGUGCAUUUUUUGACAUACAAUUAAGAAUUUUAUGUUCACCAUUGGUGCACAUAAGGGUCAUAUUACCCGUAUGCGCGCCAAUGGUGAAUAUUAAAUUGCUAAUUGUAUAUCAAAAUAUGAACAAUAACUACCUCUUAAAACCCAUUAAAUUUCGUUUGCAUAUCUUAACCGGUUCUAGAGCAAUAAAUAAAUCGUCAGUUUGUAAGAAAAAUUUCAACACCGCCUAUCUCGAAAACGAAACAUUUGCGGACAUACGUUUAUAAAGCAAACUAUCAUUAUAUUUUCAUGCAGAAUUACCCCUAAAGUUUGCCAUACUUAUUUAAAAACACCUCGUAUUGAUGAAAAACAAGGUUAGUUGUUAAAGUACCUAACUUUUUAUUAUCUAACAUAAGCGAAUUAAUAAAAAAAAACAGAAUAUUAAGAAAACAUGAGGCUAUAUUUGGGUUCUAAUUUUAGUAUUUUAUAAAUGCUAGAAUAUUCCACAGGGUGACGCGAACUUUGAGAAAAAAUCACAGUUUGAUUGGUACAUCCGGUAUACAAUGACAAUUUACCUGUCUAGCAACAAUAUUAUUACAGCGAUAUUGUUCAUGAAUAAGGCUACAUGUUAAAAAAAUCAUUUAAAUCGAACAACAGGUUUAGUAAAUUCGAGACAUCAAAAAUGAUCCGUUUUUAAGGUGGUGCGUUAAUUUCUUGGAGAAGUAUAUUUAGAUAUAACCCAAAUUUUUUGACUUUUAAAUUGUAGGGCGUUGUUGAAAAUUGUCUAAAAAUCUUUGACUUAUCGGGCAAAGUGCGUUCCCCUGUUCUGGCGACUACUAUAAUUAUUCUCGGGGCGCAUGUGCCUAUUCGUUGAUAGUCUUAUUUUUAUAUUAUAAACGGCUAAGCGGUUUGUUCCCCGUCUUACGCCGUAUUUAAAUGUUUUUUAUCUACUGAAUUAAAACGAGCGGUCUAAUGUAUUCCAAGGUGUCACAUCACUGCGUCAUUUCGUGUUCUUUAAUAUAAAUAUGUCAAUUUUAUUAUUUAAUUUUUAUUAUAUAGUUUGAAUUCGUUAAUAACUGAUAAAAGCAUGGGUUUGGCACUGAGGCACUUUGGCGACAGUCUAUUGUUCCUUGUUUGUUUUGGAGAAUCGACUGUUCUAACUGGCAUAGAGGGACUCUACUCGGUUCAUGCUAAAUGCAGGACAGAUUAAAACGGCGAGCACUUGCUGGUUGUGUGGAAAACGUAUAUAAAUAUAAAUUUUCAGAUGUAUCGGAAGGCAUUAAAUGAUUUGCAAUCUAUUUUAGUCUCUCCUGCAUCGUUAAUAUCGUUCCUCAUGGACAGAGUAAGUUUUAUUGUAUGUAUAAUAUAAUUAUAUAUUUUAUUCUUGGUAAUGCAUUUUUGCAUUGUGAUGAUUGUAUUUUAGCAGUAAUUUAUGGAGUUCAAAGCAUAUACUUCUGUUUUCCGGCACAGUUAGUAACGUUAACUAAUAAAGUUAAAAUAGCGAUAUUGCUUGAAGUAAAGUAGUUCCCAUUUUGGUCUUUUUUUAUAUCUUCUUUUAUUAAGCAAAGCAAUAGUAAUGUGUAGGUAACAACGGGACAAAAUAGGAGCUACUUAUUUCACCUUUUUUUUUAUAUUGUCAUGUAGUUUAUUUUUUGUAAGCGGUCGCAGGCUCCGAUGAGGAUUACAGCUAAGACAUUCAUUUGCAAUCAUAGAAUCAUUUAUGACGAUAAUUAUUAUAUUAAUUUAAUUCUGGUUUUACAUCCAUUUUUGCUUAAGCUUUUUGGUAUUUUGUCCCUCUCCGAUACAUUAAUACUAAGAAACUUUCAGUUAUAUUAUUUUUUCGAUUUUAGUGUGAAGUAGCUAAUCUUUCAAUAUUUGUACCAUAAAUGCCUAAAUAGUAACACGUUUUUGCAAUUUUAAUACAACACAAAACCAUACUACUGUAAAGAGUCCAAGCAUUCGCAGAAGACACUCGUGUUUAAGAAGUUUUCUAAAAUCGGGCGCAAAAUUACAUCUGGACAAAAAAUGAAUCCUUUUUGGGUACGAGUGGUGCUCUUUGAAUGUGUUCCUGAGAUGCGUUUUAUGCAAUUUCAUACUGUACUGUAUUUCAUUAUUGGUAUAAUUUAGUCGAAGCCCCUUGCCUGCUUCAGACAUUUUGUUAUUUGUAUCAUCUAUCAAUUAUGAGAGGACUGAUGAUUUAUAAUGUCUCAAUAAACAGUUGUAUGUGUAUUACAAUUUUACUAA
This 6226-nucleotide unclassified non-coding RNA is filed under the name Diabrotica virgifera virgifera (western corn rootworm). RNAcentral's name for it is "heterogeneous nuclear ribonucleoprotein Q". The record is from RNAcentral. Lineage: Eukaryota; Metazoa; Arthropoda; Insecta; Coleoptera; Chrysomelidae.